GAUGAACGCUGGCGGCGUGCCUAAUACAUGCAAGUCGAGCGAACAGACGAGGAGCUUGCUCCUCUGACGUUAGCGGCGGACGGGUGAGUAACACGUGGAUAACCUACCUAUAAGACUGGGAUAACUUCGGGAAACCGGAGCUAAUACCGGAUAAUAUAUUGAACCGCAUGGUUCAAUAGUGAAAGACGGUUUUGCUGUCACUUAUAGAUGGAUCCGCGCCGCAUUAGCUAGUUGGUAAGGUAACGGCUUACCAAGGCGACGAUGCGUAGCCGACCUGGGAGGGUGAUCGGCCACACUGGAAGUGAGACACGGUCCAGACUCCUACGGGAGGCAGCAGUAGGGAAUCUUCCGCAAUGGGCGAAAGCCUGACGGAGCAACGCCGCGUGAGUGAUGAAGGUCUUCGGAUCGUAAAACGCUGUUAUUAGUGAAGAACAAAUGUGUAAGUAACUAUGCACGUCUUGACGGUACCUAAUCAGAAAGCCACGGCUAACUACGUG
Molecule: ribosomal RNA, 497 nt
Filed under: uncultured bacterium
Lineage: Bacteria
Description: partial 16S ribosomal RNA
Rfam family: Bacterial small subunit ribosomal RNA
Source: RNAcentral